Molecule: transfer RNA, 77 nt
Filed under: Armatimonadetes bacterium CG2_30_59_28
Lineage: Bacteria; Bacillati; Armatimonadota
Also listed under: 4 other names
Description: tRNA-His
Rfam family: tRNA
About the family: Transfer RNA (tRNA) molecules are approximately 80 nucleotides in length. Their secondary structure includes four short double-helical elements and three loops (D, anti-codon, and T loops).
Source: RNAcentral
GUGGGUGUAGCUCAGUUGGUUAGAGCGCCAGAUUGUGGCUCUGGAGGCCGAGGGUUCGAGCCCCUUCACUCACCCCA